GUGCCAGCAGCCGCGGUAAUACCGGCAGCUCAAGUGAUGUCCAAUAUUAUUGGGCCUAAAGCGUCCGUAGCUGGCCACGCAAGUCCGUCGGGAAAUCCACCUGCCCAACAGGUGGGCGUCCGGCGGAAACUGUGUGGCUUGGAACCGGAAGGCUCAGAGGGUACGUCCGGGGUAGGAGUGAAAUCCCGUAAUCCCGGACGGACCACCGAUGGCGAAAGCACUUCGAGAAAACGGACCCGACGGUGAGGGACGAAAGCCAGGGUCUCGAACCGGAUUAGAUACCCUGGUAGUCC
RNAcentral lists this ribosomal RNA (293 nucleotides) under uncultured bacterium. RNAcentral's name for it is "partial 16S ribosomal RNA". It matches the Rfam family "Archaeal small subunit ribosomal RNA", at positions 455 to 747 of the family's 1478-position model. The record is from RNAcentral.